Molecule: ribosomal RNA, 690 nt
Filed under: uncultured Enterobacterales bacterium
Lineage: Bacteria; Pseudomonadati; Pseudomonadota; Gammaproteobacteria; Enterobacterales
Description: bacterial SSU rRNA
Rfam family: Bacterial small subunit ribosomal RNA
Source: RNAcentral
GCCUAACACAUGCAAGUCGAACGGUAACAGGAAGCAGCUUGCUGCUUCGCUGACGAGUGGCGGACGGGUGAGUAAUGUCUGGGAAACUGCCUGAUGGAGGGGGAUAACUACUGGAAACGGUAGCUAAUACCGCAUAACGUCGCAAGACCAAAGAGGGGGACCUUCGGGCCUCUUGCCAUCGGAUGUGCCCAGAUGGGAUUAGCUAGUAGGUGGGGUAACGGCUCACCUAGGCGACGAUCCCUAGCUGGUCUGAGAGGAUGACCAGCCACACUGGAACUGAGACACGGUCCAGACUCCUACGGGAGGCAGCAGUGGGGAAUAUUGCACAAUGGGCGCAAGCCUGAUGCAGCCAUGCCGCGUGUAUGAAGAAGGCCUUCGGGUUGUAAAGUACUUUCAGCGGGGAGGAAGGCGACAGGGUUAAUAACCCUGUCGAUUGACGUUACCCGCAGGAGAAGCACCGGCUAACUCCGUGCCAGCAGCCGCGGUAAUACGGAGGGUGCAAGCGUUAAUCGGAAUUACUGGGCGUAAAGCGCACGCAGGCGGUCUGUCAAGUCGGAUGUGAAAUCCCCGGGCUCAACCUGGGAACUGCAUUCGAAACUGGCAGGCUAGAGUCUUGUAGAGGGGGGUAGAAUUCCAGGUGUAGCGGUGAAAUGCGUAGAGAUCUGGAGGAAUACCGGUGGCGAAGGCGGC